This 5193-nucleotide long non-coding RNA is filed under the name Eucalyptus grandis. RNAcentral describes it as "long non-coding RNA (EGRA_LNC006605)". Lineage: Eukaryota; Viridiplantae; Streptophyta; Magnoliopsida; Myrtales; Myrtaceae. The record is from RNAcentral.
UCUGCAAUCGUCUCCAAUCCAGGAUAUUUGGAACUUCUGGUGCGAGCCGGGACGAGAAGAGCUGGCGCCACCUCCAUCCACGGACUCGGUCCCCCAAUUCCCUUCGACAUACCGUGAUCGCGAUGCUCGAUUCUGAUUCCGAUUCGAGAGCUUAAGCUUUGGUCGAAGAGAAAGAGGUCAGCUGGGUUAGAGCUCGACUGGCUUUGAGAGAGAGAAUGAGAUUUGCUAGGUUGGGUGGCGAAAAUUGCAGGGCGAGGGGCGGUUGUUUUAUAAGGGGAGGGCGAGGACGAGUGGGGUUACGAUCUCGUGGUGUUGGCUUGUGAAGAAAAGGUAGCGUUUGUCGCUACUACUCGUGGAAGCUUCGUCCCUUUUCUUCACUUCGACUGGUCGCCUGAAAGGCGAGGAGCACGUGGGAAAUAACAUCCCCCGGGGGGUCGCUAGUGGUGAUAGCUUCCAUUGUGACGGCAGUGGCAUCACCAGGUGGAGUGAGCCAAAAGACCAUUGGACUAUCAUGAUUGCGUGGGCGAAUUUUCAGUUGACCCAUCACCUUUCACGACAUCAUUUCCUUUUGCCUUCAUUCCAUUUUCUCAGGGGCAAUUGCGAAAAAGUUCAAAGCCUAUUUUACAGUGAUUUUUUAUUCAUUCAUCAAUUUUUUUCUUUUUAACUUAAUCAUUUUAAUCUUAAACCAUUUGAUUAUUAUUGAUAUAGUUGGCUAAAUUUGAUUGGAAAUUGUCGGUGUGGCCAUCGGUUGUCUUACAUUAUACAAUCGGCGAACUAAUGCCAUCUAGAAAGUAUUCACAAUUUUUUAUAAAAUUUUUCUAAAAUAUUAAUUGAUUUUUACUCGUGUUUUUUUUCUUUUCACUAUUCAUUUUUCGAACGGGGUCAUCGAGCCCUCGACAAUGGCCAACAACCCUUGCCCAUGGCCAAAUCUAAGUCACCGACCAUUGCUAAGGCUCCAGUGACCCUGACCAGCUAAAUCUGCAACUUCUAAAUUCGCAACUUCGUCACCAUGACUCCAUUUAUGAUCUGUGACAACAAAGUUAAGGCAAGGAUCACUGACCACAAAUACAAUGGAGAGGGUCGGAAGCCUAGUAGUGGUCCCCUUGGAUGUGGUGUCAGCAACUACAUCAGUGGUGAGGGUGAAGGGAGGCAUUGAUAUUUCUCGAGGUGUUAGGUGGAGGUGAAAAGGAUAUGGAUGGGGAUUUGUGAUUUUAUUCAUCUAAUUCCAUAUCAAUAUAUACAUAUCAAUUUGCAAUUGGUUUAGAAUAGAAAAAUACACGCCGUCUUAGUUAUUAACGUGACGCUCGCGCUCACUGAAUACUUUUCUCGUCAUUGAUGUAUGCGUUUGCGAUGGCUAGGGCAAUUGGUGGAAAGAGACAGAUGAUCCCUAGACAAUUAGUCCGAUGUUUAUGCAAGUGUCCUCUUGACAAGUCGAUCCCCAAAAGAUGCCUUUGGAAACUCUUUCAAUCGUGCAGCCAAUGAUUUGUCUUAUUGAUUCCAAAAUGGUCAUUUCGCAUAUCAUGCUUCACUCAUUUCCCACACGUUUUGAUAAAUGCACUUUCCUAUGCACUUUCCUCCUCCGUUACCACUUAGGAUGACGAUGACUAUAACAAGAUGGGUGUAAGAAAUGUCUAUUUUAUAAUUUUUAAAAAGAAUUUCAAAUAGACUUGAAAUUGGACAAGAGAGGAGUUUAGGGGUAUAAUCUCGAGAAUUGCUUCAUAGAUUGUUAGAUGAGGCUUAUCAGAAAAUGGACAUGAACCCUAAAAAUUUAAUCUGUCGCUGCAAACAAUGGGCAUCUUCAAUUACUAUCAAAAUUUUCUGUGAACUCGAUGGGUGUGUUGUUGAUAUGAGCUCCAAAAUCGAAGUAGUUGCGCUCACAUCAACACCCGCAAGAUAAUGUUGGAUCUCGGUCCCCUCUUAGAUGAGAAGUUCCAUCCCAGAAAUGGAUUAACUGAGAAAAUAUUGGGCACCUGGGGGCAUCAAUUUCGUAAAAUACUAGUCUAUUCAUAACUCUUUCUCUCUCCUCUCUCCUUUGUCUGUUAGUUUUUCCUCCCUCUCAUUUCUCUCUUGCACUUGUUUUUUACUCAUCUUCUUUUUCGUCCAUCAAUCUUCUCUAUUUAGCACUUGCUUUAUUUCUUUCCUAUUACAUCCGCCAUGGCUAGAGCUCGAGCUGAAGCUUGAGGCUCAUGGCUGCUUUGGCCAACAACCUCAAAUCCAAACUUGGGGUAGCCUUGGCCACUUAAGUCUUGAGCUCAGCCUCAAACUAGUGGCAAUGGCCACUUGAGCUUUGAGCUCAUCAUGAUGGUGGCCGAGCUUUGAUCUCCCUGUUGUAAUUAUGGUGGGUUAAUGAAUCAACAACGAAUGUGAGUGAAAUGAGAUGCGUUGUUUCUAUUCACGUAUCUCAUUAAUUCAUGUAUUUCUCGAGUUCAUGUAUUUCUUGGAUUCAUAUAUCUACUUAAUUCUUGAUUCAUGUAUCUGUUGGAUUUUUGUAUCUAAUUAAUUCAUGUAUCUAUUAGAUUCGUGUAUCUAUUUAUUUCAUGGUUCAUGUACCGUUUCUAUAUAUGAAUUCAAAAACUCUAUAAGUAAAUUUAUAAAUCUUCAUUUUGAUGAGAAGCAAAAAUCACCAAUGAUUCAUCUCUUCAAGUUUUCUCUAAGUGUGACGGUUUCAAGAAGUGUUCGACUGAGUCCUAUUCAUAUAGUGCUGACACCAAUAAGUUCGAGGUGUUAUUUUUUGGGAGGCAAAGUUUGUGAAGUUACUUAACACUGUUAACAAAAACUAAUCAUCUUAAAGAGAUUUGUUUAGCCGUACCUCACUUGCAAUUAUUGUUUAUUUUGUUGUCGCUUUUUUUAUCUGGACAAUGAAUAGUGUUAUGUAUCUUCCGUCAAUAUGUGUCUUCUUCUCCUCCUAUUCUUUAUUUUCCAACACUCCCAUCCAUGGUCGCUAGAUUAAGGCACUUGAGGACACGAAUCAAGACUUGAACCUAGAGCUCGAGGUCAAAGCAGCCAUGGUCGCUUGAGCACGAGCUUGUGACUAUGGUUGCUGUAUCUAGAGCUCACAACCUCGGUUACUUGAGAUCAAGCUCUAUGGCCAUGGCGGCUGCAAGCCUUGGACUCAAGCUCCGCAGCUGCAGGGUGCAAGGAGAAAAAAAAGAAGGAAAGCAAGUGUAGCAAAUGAGAGAGAAAAAAUGAAAUGGUGAUGGAGGGGGAAAGAGGGGGGAGAUCGUGACUGGGAGGUGAGUCCGCUUGUGACACGUGUCGCAAGAUGAAUAGACUUUUUUUUUUUUUUUUUGAGUUGACAUUAGAGUUGUACAUAAUAUUGAGAUUAUACAUGAGAGGGAAAUUAUUGAAAACGCAUGUAUUCCAAUUGAAUCGUAACUUAAUAAUUUAAAUUUUUAAAUAAAGGUGAAUUUAAUUAAAUAAAUUAGUGGGCUCAGAUAUAAACUCCCUCUCAGUGAUCUCUUAAGGUGAGGAUAUCAAUUUCUUUAGAGCACUCCCAACAACAUAGUACAUAAACAGAUACGAAAAUUUUUAUGUGAUUAUCCAUUUAGUAACGUUGAUCCGCAAAAGAUACCCUUAUGACACUUUUUGAUCGUGCAUAAAUCGUACACCUUACUGAUUAAAAAAUUGUCGCUUCACAUAUCAUGCGCGUUGCUUAUUUUCCACUCAUCCUUGAUAACCCGCUAUCCUUUUCCUUACCCUAUAUGAUGACAAUAACAAGAUGGGCGUAAAGUACCAAAAAAAAAUGUCUCUUUUAUAAAUUUGGAAGAUUUAGAAAUAUUCUUUGUAGUAUGUAAGUGUCAUUGCACUUAACAAGGAUAUUUUGAAGAUCUUACGAAAUUUAAAACUAAAAAGUGAAAUAUUUUUUGUCCUCUUAAUUUAUUUAUUUUUAAAUAGUAAGAAACGUUUUAUUAAAUCCAAUUGUUAGGUCCUCUCUUCGGCCUUCAUAUCCUUGGGAAAUCAAAUUGGACUUUGCGAGCUCAUGGCUCGACAAUUGAGGUCCGUCCAUGGGAACUUCUCCACUUCACUUUGGUUUCCCUAAUGGAAUAAACUAAGCUUUCAAUUUGAUACAAUUAAAGCAUUUUUUUUAUCGGGAUGAGAUGAAUAUUCGGACCAAUCAUUGAUGUGGUAGACAUGGGGCCAAUUUUUUAGAUAAUCCGUCCUUGUCACACAUCAAGUCAUGGAUCACCCCAAAAUGAGCUAGACUUCGAUUGAGAUGCACCCUUUAAAACAAAAUUUGCGAGCUUAGAACAUUAAAUAAUCAAUAUAAUGAUUUUCAUGGCGGUCCUAACUCUCAUCAAAGUCACUUGAAUUGAAUAUUUCAAAACAGUUGAAAUUUACACCGUUAUAAAUGAUUCAUUUGAGUCAUAAUUACAGUCCAUUGAGUCGAAGUCAGUCUUAUGGAAGGAUCAAUUCUCACCACAAAUCUUUUGAUGAGCCGAUGUAAAUAAUUUCGGGUGCAUUUGAAUUGACUAUUAUUUUUUUUAAAGUUUUCACUUAAUUCAAAAUUUGUUAGGUAAGGUAAUGAAUUUCUUCUUUCUAAGAUUUAUCGAAAUUUGGAUUAAAUUUUAGAAUUUGAAGGGAGAGGAAAGAUGAUCCUUUUGGAGAACAAAAGGUCAUUGCUUAACGCUAAAAACUUGGCUUGGAUAGACAUGAUCAUAGGCAACAAAAAAAUACCACCAAUCCACAUCUUCCCAUCACCGACUAAACUACUCACAACAACAUCACAACUUCGCAGUGCGCGAGCUUACGCACAGAGCAAAGGGAAAAAGAAUUUAAGAAUAAGAGUGAGCGAACUAGCGACAGACUCCUAAAAAAGAAAAAUGAGAAUCUGCUAUUCAUCAUCGACAUCCUCAGCUUCCUGGUCCUCUGCAAUCGUCUCCAAUCCAGGAUAUCUGGAACUUUUAACGCGGGCCGGGACGAGAAGAGCGGGCGCCACCUCCAUCCACGGACUCAAUCCUCCGAUUCCCUUCGACAUUCUGCGAUCGUGAUGCCUGGUUCCGAUUCCGGUUCUGAGAGCUCAAGCUUUGGCCGAAGAGGGAGAGCUCGACCGGGUUAUAGCUCCAGUUGAAAUCGCUGGGAAAAAGGAGAGAGAGGUUGCCGGGUUGGGUUGUGAAAAAUGGGGGGCGGGAGGCGGUUGUUUUAUAGGGGAGGGCGAGGGCCAGUGGGGUUUCGGUUUCGCGGUUUUGGCUUGCG